UAUAUUUUAACGUAAAAAAAGGAAUUUCACAAGGAUGUCCACUUUCCCUUCUAUUUAUUAUAUGCAUCGUUCUGGGAAACUGGACUAAAUGCUUGUUUGUGAAGUCUUUUCCCAGAUUAGACUGUGCAAUUCGCACAAGCUAAAAGGGACGCUACUUACUGCCUAAACAUAAUUCGCGUUAAGAAGAGAAAUAAUGUAAUCAUCUCUGAUAUGUAAGUGCGGACAGCACAGGCUAAUAUGUGACGACAAUUGACGCGGAUGCUUUAAACCCUGUUUUCCCAGAGCAAGGCUCGUAUACGUAUUGCCCAUUAAAUUACAGUUAAUUGUUUAACUACAGCCCCCAGUGAUUACCUUACUACCCUCUACCGGAAGUUCCAUCAACGAUGGUUUGCAGGCGGCCGCGGCGACCAUCCAUACGUUCAACGUCACCGACAGCGACGACGUUGUCACGUGCUCCAUACGAGCGCCGGAAUCCACCUUUUUUGAAGUGCGUUCAGUAUCCGCGUGAAAGCAGGAGUGACGUUGGCUGCAGCUGUCAGUCCGUACGUCAUGAUCGUUGAUUGCACAGAUGCCGUAACCGCCGUCAGUUCAACGUUUACCCAGCCAGUCCUUGAUAAGCCGCCGACAUUUGUAUCUGGGAUUCCUGGGAAUUCCCCUGACGUCUCAGACGACAACGUGAUUGCGACGUCACUGGGAAAGUUCACAACUACGGACCCUGAUACCACGUGUUCUGUGACGUUACCUGUGACAACCGUUUAUGAGAUCAG
Dreissena polymorpha is the source of this 767-nucleotide long non-coding RNA. RefSeq lists it as uncharacterized. The record is from RefSeq and is a predicted model, not a curated record. The transcript is spliced from 3 exons. NCBI's taxonomy places the organism in Eukaryota, Metazoa, Mollusca, Bivalvia, Myida, Dreissenidae.